ACUAAAUAGUUCUAUAACAAAACAAUUCGCCAGAGAACUACUAGCAACAGCUUAAAACUCAAAGGACUUGGCGGUGCUUUAUAUCCCUCUAGAGGAGCCUGUUCUAUAAUCGAUAAACCCCGAUAAACCUCACCAUCCCUUGCUAAUACAGUCUAUAUACCGCCAUCUUCAGCAAACAAUUGGAGUUU
RNAcentral lists this ribosomal RNA (188 nucleotides) under Vulpes vulpes (red fox). RNAcentral describes it as "partial small subunit ribosomal RNA". Lineage: Eukaryota; Metazoa; Chordata; Mammalia; Carnivora; Canidae. The record is from RNAcentral.